This 479-nucleotide ribosomal RNA is filed under the name uncultured bacterium. RNAcentral's name for it is "bacterial SSU rRNA". It matches the Rfam family "Bacterial small subunit ribosomal RNA", at positions 330 to 801 of the family's 1533-position model. The record is from RNAcentral.
UGCGAACUCCUACGGGAGGCAGCAGUGGGGAGUUUUGGACAAUGGGGGCAACCCUGAUCCAGCAAUGCCGCGUGAGUGACGAAGGCCUUCGGGUUGUAAAGCUCUUUUGUCAGGGAAGAAACGGUGGUAGCUAAUAACUAUUACUCAUGAGGGUACCUGAAGAAUAAGCACCGGCUAACUACGUGCCAGCAGCCGCGGUAAUACGAGGGGUGCAAGCGUUAAUCGGAAUUACUGGGCGUAAAGCGUGCGCAGGCGGUUGUGUAAGUCAGAUGUGAAAUCCCCGGGCUCAACCUGGGAAUUGCAUUUGAGACUGCACGGCUAGAGUGUGUCAGAGGGGGGUAGAAUUCCACGUGUAGCAGUGAAAUGCGUAGAUAUGUGGAGGAAUACCGAUGGCGAAGGCAGCCCCCUGGGAUAACACUGACGCUCAUGCACGAAAGCGUGGGGAGCAAACAGGAUUAGAAACCCUUGUAGUCCAGAUG